AAAAAAUGGCUGCAAAAGGUCUUUGCUAGCUUUGUUUUCUGUUCUUCUAGUUUUGUUGCUUUUAUUAUCUACAUCAGGCUUCUUUGCUUUGAAACUUGUACCUUAUAAAAACUGUGAAACUGAGUAUGCUGGUAGAUUAAGCCACCAAGCAGGGCAAAUAUUCAUAUCAAUAAUUCCAUAAAACAUGACACGACUUGUUGUUAGCUACAGUUUGGUUAAACAAGACAAAAUCUUGUUUUUUUGGUUGCUAACAAUUUGACAAGUGCAUAGCACAAUU
RNAcentral lists this unclassified non-coding RNA (277 nucleotides) under Hevea brasiliensis (rubber tree). The record is from RNAcentral. Lineage: Eukaryota; Viridiplantae; Streptophyta; Magnoliopsida; Malpighiales; Euphorbiaceae.